Molecule: non-coding RNA, 72 nt
Organism: Gossypium raimondii (Peruvian cotton)
Lineage: Eukaryota; Viridiplantae; Streptophyta; Magnoliopsida; Malvales; Malvaceae
Source: Rfam
AUUUAAGUUGCGCAGCGGAAGCGUGGUGGGCUUAUAAUCCACAAGUCCCAGGAUUGAAACCUGACUCUGAUA